GCUAAUUCUUCAACCCAUAAGACUGACACUUCAAACAAAAGCACAAUCUUUCGUAAGGUUAUGAGAAUAAUACGGGCAAAGGACCAUCAUCAUAAUCAUUCAGAAAUGGUUCACAAGACUGAAGAGAAUGCAGCAAGAUGCUCUUAUUAUUCUUCUGGGUACUGUUCAGAUAUGUCUGUCGUAGAUACCGGAGCUAUUAGGCCCCAGAGCAGAU
RNAcentral lists this unclassified non-coding RNA (214 nucleotides) under Hevea brasiliensis (rubber tree). The record is from RNAcentral. Lineage: Eukaryota; Viridiplantae; Streptophyta; Magnoliopsida; Malpighiales; Euphorbiaceae.